Molecule: ribosomal RNA, 462 nt
Filed under: uncultured bacterium
Lineage: Bacteria
Description: partial 16S ribosomal RNA
Source: RNAcentral
GACUACCCGGGUAUCUAAGCCCGUUUGCUCCCCUGGCUUUCGUGCCUCAGCGUCAGGAACGGUCCAGAAAGCCGCCUUCGCCACUGGUGUUCUUCCAGAUAUCUGCGCAUUCCACCGCUACACCUGGAAUUCCACUUUCCUCUCCCGUCCUCUAGCCUGGUAGUUUCCAACGGCUUCUCCCUGUUAAGCAGUGGAGGUUUCACGUCAGACUUGCCAAACCGCCUACGCACGCUUUACGCCCAGUGAAUCCGAACAACGCUUGCCCCCUACGUAUUACCGCGGCUGCUGGCACGUAGUUAGCCGGGGCUUCCUCCGCAGGUACCGUCCCUCCCGUAUUGUCCAUACGGGCAUUCUUCCCUGCUGACAGUGGUUUACAACCGUAAGGCCUUCGUCCCACACGCGGCGUCGCUCGGUCAGACUUUCGUCCAUUGCCGAAGCCUCUCGACUGCAGCCCCCCGUAGG